AAAAAAAAAAAUAUAUAUAUAUUUAUAUAUAUAUAUUUGCAAGCAGAUAGCUAUGUAGCUUGCCAAUGUUUGUUUUGUUUUCCUCACGACAACGUCCCACAAGAUGCUAAAAAACAGAAAUAUUUAAAUUAUAUUUCGCGCGCCAGGAUCGUCAAGUCACAUGACAUCACUCUCCCAGAGUGAGUUGCAAGUGUAGGGUCGGUCAGCGAAAGAAAAGUGAAAAAUAAAACGGCAACGGCGCAUGGUAAAUAUGGAUGUUUCAUCACAAUGUUCCCCAUCUCCACAUCCUUGGCCUGCAGCUCCUGUCGAGAUAGGAAUUCCACAAUGCCAGCCCCAAUGGAGUCACCCAAGACGUUGGUUGUGGUACGCAGCCGAUCACUACAAUCCAGGAAUAACGAACCAAUCAACUGCAAUGAUGAGGGUGAUGUCAUCAGUGGGAAGUCCAACAGAGGUCAACACAAUCACCAUGGUGACAAGUCCAGCCUGUGGUAUCCCAGCAGCUCCAAUACUUGCUGCAGUGGCUGUGAUGCUGUUUUAUAGCAC
Oncorhynchus keta (chum salmon) is the source of this 543-nucleotide long non-coding RNA. RefSeq lists it as uncharacterized. The transcript is spliced from 3 exons. The record is from RefSeq and is a predicted model, not a curated record. Lineage: Eukaryota; Metazoa; Chordata; Actinopteri; Salmoniformes; Salmonidae.